Molecule: long non-coding RNA, 872 nt
Filed under: Monodelphis domestica (gray short-tailed opossum)
Lineage: Eukaryota; Metazoa; Chordata; Mammalia; Didelphimorphia; Didelphidae
Description: lncRNA (ENSMODG00000042988.1)
Source: RNAcentral
GGCCCAAUCUAUCCAGAAUAAAUUUGACGGAGAAGUCUACCUGUCCAAACUGCAAGGGGACCAUGAUGUAUGGCAUCUUUGGGGGUUGCAUCCUGAUGUUCUGUAACAGCUUGUGUAAUUUGAUGCAUCACAUCACGUUAACUCAUGCUUAAGUGUUGCUGUUUAAAAUGUGCUACAAGCUCCAGGAGCUCAGCUAAUAAAGGCCACCGAAUGAAAGAAAGUUAAAUAUGAAUGUAAGAGGAGACCUAAAUGAAGGGCUGGCUUGUACAACUCAAAGAUGACCUUCUCAAGAUGAGCAAGUGGAAAAUCCUUUUUAAAGCAAAUGAGGCUGUUCCUGUUAACUCCUUUUGCUGUCACUUCUGCUUACUGUUCCUGAUACUGGUAAGCUUUAAAUUCCCUGCCCCCAAAACCUCAGUCCAGUGGAGAGGGAUUAAUUUUCUAUUUUCAGGGGGGUACUGGUCCUUUUUCCUCACUAAAUCCUGUUCCCAAAAACACCCCACCCAGCUUCCUAUUCUCAUUCUUUAAACAAAAAAGAAAACAAAAAAACAAAACUCUUCUCAUUCAAACUAAAAGGAGUCCUCACCCUUAAAACCAGCCCAUAUCUUGAUUUAAACCUCCUCACCCCUGCCACUAGAGGCUAAUAUUGAGCAUUCAAUUUUUGUUUUGAUUUCCCCCCUUUUAUGCUGAACUGCAGUGCUACAUUUCUGCCCCCUAAAGUGGGAACCAAUUAUACACACACACACACACACACACACACACACAAACACACACACACCAACUAAAAAAACACACCCGAUACAACCAAACUAUAUCAUUGUAAAGAAUAAUAACAGAACAACAUGGUUUUGUCAAAUUGGAAAACAUUAAGGUUC